AUACAUUCUAGUGAGGAACUAAAUAUACCCAUUCUGAGUACCUUGCCUGUUGCUUCCAUGGAACCUGACACAUGUCACUCUGGGGAUUUACAUCCCGAGGGAGCCUCCGUGGAAGGUAAUCAAUUAACUCUUGAAUCCAAUGUCAUCUGUCUGAUAAUGUUUAUAACAAAUGUUAAAACUUUCAACAACGGAUCUCUUGGUUCUCGCAUCGAUGAAGAACGCAGCGAAAUGCGAUAAGUAGUGUGAAUUGCAGAAUUCAGUGAAUCAUCGAAUCUUUGAACGCACAUUGCGCCUCCUGGUAUUCCGGGAGGCAUGCCUGUUCGAGCGUCAUUAAAUACCACUCAAGCUCUUCUGCUUGGUCAUGGAAGAAGAGAAUGCUUGCAUCCUCUCUUCUGAAAUCGAACGGCGGACUGCCUCAUGUGCCUCGCGUAGUAAGUUCAUCUUUUCGCCUGGAGUGUGAGAUAGUCUCGCCAUCAACCCCCAUACUUCUAAGGUUGACCUCGGAUCAGGUAGGGAUACCCGCUGUACUUAAGCAUAUCAA
Molecule: ribosomal RNA, 541 nt
Filed under: Wilcoxina cf. rehmii DL-2015
Lineage: Eukaryota; Fungi; Ascomycota; Pezizomycetes; Pezizales; Pyronemataceae
Description: eukaryotic LSU rRNA
Rfam family: 5.8S ribosomal RNA (bases 177-330)
Source: RNAcentral